AUGGCUCAGCGGUUAAGAGCACUUAACUGCUAUUGCAGAGGACCUGGGUUCCAUUCCCAGU
This 61-nucleotide transfer RNA is filed under the name Mesocricetus auratus (golden hamster). The record is from Rfam by way of RNAcentral. Lineage: Eukaryota; Metazoa; Chordata; Mammalia; Rodentia; Cricetidae.